UAAUACGUAGGGUGCAAGCGUUGUUCGGAAUUACUGGGCGUAAAGGGGGAGUAGGCGGAAAGAAAAGUCAGAUGUGAAAGCCCUGUGCUUAACGCAGGAAGAGCAUUUGAAACUAUCUAACUAGAGUGUAUUAUGGGAGCGUGGAAUUCCUAGUGUAGCGGUGAAAUGCGUAGAUAUUAGGAGGAAGACUCGUGGCGAAGGCGACGCUCUGGGGUAACACUGACGCUGAGGACCGAAAGCAUGGGGAGCAAACAGGAUUAGAUACCCUGGUAGUCCAUGCCGUAAACGAUGAGAGCUACUCGUAGGUUUCGUUGACGAAAUCUGUGGGUGAGUAAACACAUUAAGCUCUCCGCCUGGGAAGUACGGUCGCAAGAUUAAAACUCAAAGGAAUUGACGG
RNAcentral lists this ribosomal RNA (397 nucleotides) under bacterium enrichment culture. RNAcentral describes it as "bacterial SSU rRNA". It matches the Rfam family "Bacterial small subunit ribosomal RNA", at positions 521 to 916 of the family's 1533-position model. The record is from RNAcentral.